RNAcentral lists this ribosomal RNA (420 nucleotides) under uncultured bacterium. Its description in RNAcentral is "bacterial SSU rRNA". It matches the Rfam family "Bacterial small subunit ribosomal RNA", at positions 355 to 774 of the family's 1533-position model. The record is from RNAcentral.
UAAGGAAUAUUGCUCAAUGGGAGAAACCCUGAAGCAGCAACGCCGCGUGGAGGAUGAAGGGUCUAUGACUUGUAAACUCCUGUAAAGAAGGAAAAAAUUCCCAUUAGAUGGGAGAUGAUGGUACUUCUGGAGUAAGCCCCGGCUAACUACGUGCCAGCAGCCGCGGUAAUACGUAGGGGGCAAGCGUUGUCCGGAUUUACUGGGUGUAAAGGGUGCUCAGGCGGAUUUGUAAGUCAGAGGUGAAAUCUUACAGCUUAACUGUGAAACUGCCUUUGAUACUGCAAGCCUAGAGUAUGGAAGAGAGUGAUGGAAUAUCUGGUGUAGCAGUGAAAUGCGUAGAUAUCAGAUAGAACACCAAUGGCGAAGGCAGUCACUUGGUCCAUUACUGACGCUAAAGCACGAAAGCGUGGGUAGCAAACA